UCGAGGAUCUUUCGCAAUGGGCGCAAGCCUGACGAAGCGACGCCGUGUGAGUGAUGAAGGCCUUCGGGUUGUAAAGCUCUUUCGCCCGCGAACAAGAGAGACUGGUGAAUAACUAGUUGAUUUGAGGGUAGCGGGUAAAGAAGCACCGGCUAACUACGUGCCAGCAGCUGCGGUAAUACGUAGGGUGCAAGCAUUAAUCGGAUUUAUUGGGCGUAAAGGGCGCGUAGGCGGAUUUAUAAGUCAGGUGUGAAAUUCCGGGGCUCAACCUCGGAGCUGCACUUGAAACUGUGAAUCUAGAGGAUUGGCGGAGAAAACGGAAUUCCACAUGUAGCGGUGAAAUGCGUAGAUAUGUGGAAGAACACCGGUGGCGAAAGCGGUUUUCUAGCUUAUUCCUGACGCUGAGGCGCGAGAGCAAGGGGAUCAAACAGGAUUAGAUACCCGUGUAGUCC
Molecule: ribosomal RNA, 449 nt
Filed under: uncultured bacterium
Lineage: Bacteria
Description: bacterial SSU rRNA
Rfam family: Bacterial small subunit ribosomal RNA
Source: RNAcentral